GACGAACGCUGGCGGCGUGCCUAAUACAUGCAAGUAGAACGCUGAAGGAGGAGCUUGCUUCUCUGGAUGAGUUGCGAACGGGUGAGUAACGCGUAGGUAACCUGCCUGGUAGCGGGGGAUAACUAUUGGAAACGAUAGCUAAUACCGCAUAAGAGUAGAUGUUGCAUGACAUUUGCUUAAAAGGUGCAAUUGCAUCACUACCAGAUGGACCUGCGUUGUAUUAGCUAGUUGGUGGGGUAACGGCUUACCAAGGCGACGAUACAUAGCCGACCUGAGAGGGUGAUCGGCCACACUGGGACUGAGACACGGCCCAGACUCCUACGGGAGGCAGCAGUAGGGAAUCUUCGGCAAUGGACGGAAGUCUGACCGAGCAACGCCGCGUGAGUGAAGAAGGUUUUCGGAUCGUAAAGCUCUGUUGUAGGAGAAGAACGAGUGUGAGAGUGGAAAGUUCACACUGUGACGGUAUCUUACCAGAAAGGGACGGCUAACUACGUG
Molecule: ribosomal RNA, 495 nt
Filed under: uncultured bacterium
Lineage: Bacteria
Description: partial 16S ribosomal RNA
Rfam family: Bacterial small subunit ribosomal RNA
Source: RNAcentral